UCGAGCGGACAGAUGGGAGCUUGCUCCCUGAUGUUAGCGGCGGACGGGUGAGUAACACGUGGGUAACCUGCCUGUAAGACUGGGAUAACUCCGGGAAACCGGGGCUAAUACCGGAUGCUUGUUUGAACCGCAUGGUUCAAACAUAAAAGGUGGCUUCGGCUACCACUUACAGAUGGACCCGCGGCGCAUUAGCUAGUUGGUGAGGUAAUGGCUCACCAAGGCAACGAUGCGUAGCCGACCUGAGAGGGUGAUCGGCCACACUGGGACUGAGACACGGCCCAGACUCCUACGGGAGGCAGCAGUAGGGAAUCUUCCGCAAUGGACGAAAGUCUGACGGAGCAACGCCGCGUGAGUGAUGAAGGUUUUCGGAUCGUAAAGCUCUGUUGUUAGGGAAGAACAAGUACCGUUCGAAUAGGGCGGUACCUUGACGGUACCUAACCAGAAAGCCACGGCUAACUACGUGCCAGCAGCCGCGGUAAUACGUAGGUGGCAAGCGUUGUCCGGAAUUAUUGGGCGUAAAGGGCUCGCAGCGGUUUCUUUAAGUCUGAUGUGAAAGCCCCCGGCUCAACCGGGGAGGGUCAUUGGAAACUGGGGAACUUGAGUGCA
RNAcentral lists this ribosomal RNA (606 nucleotides) under Bacillus sp. Al-Dhabi-29. RNAcentral's name for it is "bacterial SSU rRNA". It matches the Rfam family "Bacterial small subunit ribosomal RNA", at positions 62 to 650 of the family's 1533-position model. The record is from RNAcentral. Lineage: Bacteria; Bacillati; Bacillota; Bacilli; Caryophanales; Bacillaceae.